Molecule: long non-coding RNA, 3739 nt
Organism: Pogoniulus pusillus (Red-fronted tinkerbird)
Lineage: Eukaryota; Metazoa; Chordata; Aves; Piciformes; Lybiidae
Exons: 2
Source: RefSeq, a predicted model, not a curated record
UGAAGGGGGUAGGGGGAGGGUCUGGGGGUGUUGUAGGCGGCCCCGGGGUUGGGGGGGGUUUGGGGGUGCCUUGGGAAGGGUCCGAGGUGGCUGGGGGGAGGGGCAGUGGAGCAGAGGGAGGGUCUGUGUGAUAGAACAGAAUGUGUUUUGUUCACAAAAGAAGAACAGGAAGUUAACCACCCAGAUCGAGAUGGAAACCGCAUGUAAAUAUGUUCUUGCUUAAUAUGUGCUUGCCCAAUAAGUUUCACGUUCCAGGAACCCAGGCAAGCAAGAUCCUCGAGGAAGACUGCUAGCCUUCAUCAUGGCGACCACCAGGAGGCAGAGAAAGGCCCCCUAGCAACACAUCGCACAUGCGCAGAGUACUACAGGAAGGACACGUCAGCGGGAAAGGACGUACUAUAAAAGGAAGAACUGGGACUUGCUUGGGCGCGGCCGUUGGCAGAGCGGAGACUCCCCUGUCGCCCAGCGCUGAUAUUUGCCUAUACCUUGCUAUAAUUAAUAAAAUUCUUGAUUUGGUUAUAGCGAUUUAGCAUGUUCAAAAUUUAUCACAAUUGGUGCCAUGACUCGGAUGCAGCAGGCAUGAUAGAAUUCUUGGUUCUACUUGGGAGGCGCCCCGCCUAUUAAUUUUUGGCAGCCCUGGUAGACCAAUUUCUGCCCCAGUUGCACCGACGAACCCAAAUUCAAGGUAGUAGGCAAAGGAGGCCGGCAGACCCUAUAAACUUUGUGCACAAAGGUCCGGACGAAGACGCAGGACACAAACUGCAGUCCGGACAGCUGAAAAGGGAUGGACCCAUGCCAGCCGUAUUAAAGGACCAGUGGAAGGGCCAGCUCCUGAGUGGCAAGUAGUUGGAGACCCAGGGGACUUAAAGCUGAAAAUACAAAGAAGAAAAGAAACUGUAAACUGAGUAGAUACCAGACUCGGGCUACACAAAGGAGGGGGAGGGGUUGAUCUGUAACUUAAAUGUCACGAUAGGACAACCCGGGUGUGAUUGUUAUCCUUGUAAAAUUUGUGGAGACAAGUGGUAGAAGCGUUGCAGGCGGGGGAUCCCAACUAGGGGAGUUUGUGGUUCUGGCUGGAAUUUUUAGCGUGACAUAUCCAAUUGAGCUGAAUUCUUUAAUAACAAAAGCCAUUGGUGUCGAACUCGCUUGGGAAAAGUCCAGUGCAGUAUACCUCCCAUUAAACGACAGAAUCGGAAUUCUUAUGUUAAGAGGCAACAUACGUUGUCCCAGUGGGCUCCUGAAGAAUAUCCCUGCUGCCGAGAAGAUGGUAUCCCUCGUGGCUCAAAGCAACCAAGUCGACGAGCGAGGCAGAGGGGUAAAAGACUGUGGAAAAAAGAAACCCCAAACUGGGACACUAAAGGAAUGUUUACAGAACUGCCUCGAGAAUGGGAUUAAAGACAGGAAUCCCAGUGGGGGGGACAGGGUGCGACUUGGGAAAAUGGAAAACUCCGGGGCUUUCCUCAUCCACCGCGCCAAUGGUUAUCACUUGACUCUGCAAAUUAUUGUUUCAUGUUUUAUGCUGUUAGUAAGGAAGGGGGUAGAAGCAGAUGAACACCUGCCCCACCAGCCAUUUAAAUGGUCCUUAAUACGAUGGGAAGAUCAACAAGUACUGCAAACCAAGAUUACCCCUGGUGCCCCUAGCUUCACCUGUUAUUUAUGUGACAUUAUACCUACUAAGCCCUGCUUAAAUUUAUAUGGCUUUUACUUCUGUCCAAGCUCAAACCCAGGGAAAGGGUAUUGUAAUUACCCCGGACAUUAUUAUUGUGCUUACUGGGGUUGUGAAACCAUUGCUUUGGAUUGGAAAGUUAGUAAUCCAGACAACUAUUUAAAGGUGGGAUGGGGACCCUAUGGUUGUGAACCCCCAGAACAUUCAGGUGGAGGUUUUACAAAAGUAGGGACUUGUAGUUGGAUUUAUAUCAAUAUUACCCAACCAGAGGACCAAGCAUGGUUAAUAGGAAAGAUCUGGGGGGCUAGGUUGUGGGAACCAGGGACGGAUAGAGGCGGACAUUUUCUCAUUAGAAAAGAACCAGUUCAUCAAGGUUCGGAACUCAUAGGCUCUAAUGAAGUUUUGGAGGAAGCCAAUUCCGAUGUAAGAACAGGGAACCACUCGACCUGGGAAUUAAAAAAAUGAGAAUAGCACCUCCCUCAUGAAUCAUGAAAAUAUUACUACUAAUACACACCCAGAAUAUGGCACAAUGUGGAAAAUAAUGCAAGCCAGUUAUGGUAUUUUAAAUAAAACUAACCCUGGCUUGGCAAAAGAGUGCUGGCUUUGUUACAAUAUCCGGCCCCCCCUUCUAGGAAGCUAUUGGGGUAACAGCAAAAGCAAAGGGAACAAAUGAAGCUAACCCAAGGGAAUGCCUCUGGAAAAAGACCAAGGAAAGUACUCGGGGAAUAACCCUCUCCCGGCUAACAGGGCAGGGACAACGUGUGGGUACUGUUCCCCCGACAAGAAACAUCUAUGUAACAUCACAGUGGAAAAUCCAGGGCAAAAACAGAAGGCAGACUGGUUGCUUCCAGCCUUCAACACCCGAUGGGUUUGUCAGAAUAUAGGAGUCACUCCCUGUCUAUCUUUAAAAAUCUUGAAUUAUACCUCUGACUAUUGUAUUCAAGUGGCCAUUAUACCAAAAAUUACUUACCAUUCAAGGAGCUAUGUCCGUGAACAACACACGACUCUGGAACAUCAUCUCCAGAAAAGAGAACCUUUCACUGCUCUAACCAUAGCAACUCUCUUAACUAUAGGAGGGGUGGGAGCUGGAACCGGGAUAACCUCACUAGUGAACCAGCAAAAAGAGUUUAGAGCAUUGAAGCUUUCUGUGGAUGAAGAUUUAAGCAAAAUAGAACAACAGAUUGAUGGGCUAGUGGAAUCAGUAAGAUCACUAUCAGAGGUAGCAUUGCAAAAUCGUAGAGGUUUGGACUUGCUAUUUUUACAACAAAGGGGUCUUUGUGUUGCACUAAAAGAAGAAUGUUGUUCUUAGGCAGACCAUACGGGAAUGGUAGUCGAUUCUGUGAAUGAGCUGAAGAAACAGAUAGACCAGCGAAAAAAGGAAGGAGAGGUACAUCAGAGUUGGUACGAAAAUUGGUUUAGUUACUCUCCUUGGUUGACCACACUGCUUUCAACCAUCGCAGGGCCAGUAAUUUUGUUGGUACUGGGACUUACCUUUGGGCCAUGUAUAUUCAAUAAAUUGAUUUCUAUAGUAAAGAGUCGCUUAGAAGCUGCACAUCUUAUGCUUAUUAGAGCUAAAUAUGAGCAGGUACCUGAAGAUGAGACACUGGAGACCCUAGAAUUAGCCAGACAGGAAUUGCAAAGAUUUAGUGAACAAAAAUGAUUAAGAGAAAUGGAGGAUUGUGAUAGAACAGAAUGUGUUUUGUUCACAAAAGAAGAACAGGAAGUUAACCACCCAGAUCGAGAUGGAAACCGCAUGUAAAUAUGUUCUUGCUUAAUAUGUGCUUGCCCAAUAAGUUUCAAGUUCCAGCAACCCAGGCAAGCAAGAUCCUCGAGGAAGACUGCUAGCCUUCAUCAUGGCGACCACCAGGAGGCAGAGAAAGGCCCCCUAGCAACACAUCGCACAUGCGCAGAGUACUACAGGAAGGACACGUCAGCGGGAAAGGACGUACUAUAAAAGGAAGAACUGGGACUUGCUUGGGCGCGGCCGUUGGCAGAGCGGAGACUCCCCUGUCGCCCAGCGCUGAUAUUUGCCUAUACCUUGCUAUAAUUAAUAAAAUUCUUGAUUUGGUUAUA